GCACCAGUGAUCUAGUGGUAGAAUAUUACCCUGCAACGGUAUAGACUCGGGUUCAAUUCCCGACUGGUGCA
Non-coding RNA from Impatiens glandulifera, 71 nucleotides. The record is from the annotation of a RefSeq genome assembly. Lineage: Eukaryota; Viridiplantae; Streptophyta; Magnoliopsida; Ericales; Balsaminaceae.